Molecule: ribosomal RNA, 353 nt
Filed under: Streptomyces sp. XY593
Lineage: Bacteria; Bacillati; Actinomycetota; Actinomycetes; Kitasatosporales; Streptomycetaceae
Description: bacterial LSU rRNA
Rfam family: Bacterial large subunit ribosomal RNA
Source: RNAcentral
ACAGUGGACGCGAGCAUCUGUGGCCAAGUUUUUAAGGGCGCACGGUGGAUGCCUUGGCACCAGGAACCGAUGAAGGACGUGAGAGGCCGCGAUAGGCCCCGGGGAGCUGCCAACUGAGCUUUGAUCCGGGGGUGUCCGAAUGGGGAAACCCGGCAGUCGUCAUGGGCUGUCACCCACUGCUGAACACAUAGGCAGUGUGGAGGGAACGAGGGGAAGUGAAACAUCUCAGUACCCUCAGGAAGAGAAAACAACCGUGAUUCCGGGAGUAGUGGCGAGCGAAACCGGAUGAGGCCAAACCGUAUGCGUGUGAUACCCGGCAGGGGUUGCGCAUGCGGGGUUGUGGGAAUGAGCUU